UUAAAGAGAGCGGAUCGAGUUCGAAGCUUCUUUACAUUACUAACCAUGAAACCGAUUACAUGCUUACUGAUUGUAUUGGUGCUAUGUCAGCUGUGUAUGACCACAUCAGCAGCCAAGCUGUUCAGCAAUGAGAAUGUGAAGAAAGUGAAAGACAUGGCCAAAGAUCUGGGCUCGAAGAUGAAGGACGAAGCCAAGGACUUUGUAAAGAAAGUCAAAGACAUAGAUGUCGAAAAACGCUCUAUAGCUGACAAAGUACGCCUGUAAAGAAAAGCCUUCAACUGUAUGAAAAAAGACUUAUUGAAUAAAGAUUGACAAGAUAUUGAUAGCAUCCGAUAAUGUAGUUAUUGAGUCUUAUUAAUGAUCCUGUACCGGUAAAACUAGAAGGACUGUUCUGCAGGUUCAGGACCAGUGAUCGGAUUUACCUAGAGUUCGGAUAUCGGUACUUAGUCUAUGUUUAUAAAACUAUACGAAUUUUGCAUUAAAAUUGCUUUUAAAACAAAAUUUGUGUAUAAUAAUAUAAAGUAGCUAUAAUAACCUAAGUAAACUUAAAUUAAAUUAUACUUUUAUUCACAAAAAAGGUAAACAGCAAAAAGACAAAUCAUUUUUUAAAAAAAUUAAGAGUGUUUAUUUGGUCUUGUGAAAUAAAUCAUCUUCCGAUAUGAUACUUUAACUUAUCUCACUUAAAUGCGACACGAACGAUUGAAUAUUGUCAAACGUUUUGGAGAAAUCUUUUGUUCUUUAGUACACAGCAAGUAAAGAGAGAUUCAUAGAAUAAA
This is a long non-coding RNA of Magallana angulata, 776 nucleotides long. RefSeq lists it as uncharacterized. The record is from RefSeq and is a predicted model, not a curated record. NCBI's taxonomy places the organism in Eukaryota, Metazoa, Mollusca, Bivalvia, Ostreida, Ostreidae. The transcript has 2 exons.